GAUGAACGCUGGCGGCGUGCCUAAUACAUGCAAGUCGAGCGAACAGAUGAGGAGCUUGCUCCUCUGACGUUAGCGGCGGACGGGUGAGUAACACGUGGAUAACCUACCUAUAAGACUGGGAUAACUUCGGGAAACCGGAGCUAAUACCGGAUAAUAUAUUGAACCGCAUGGUUCAAUAGUGAAAGACGGUUUUGCUGUCACUUAUAGAUGGAUCCGCGCCGCAUUAGCUAGUUGGUAAGGUAACGGCUUACCAAGGCAACGAUGCGUAGCCGACCUGAGAGGGUGAUCGGCCCCACUGGAACUGAGCCACGGUCCAGACUCCUACGGGAGGCAGCAGUAGGGAAUCUUCCGCAAUGGGCGAAAGCCUAACGGGGCAACGCCGCGUGAGUGAUGAAGGUCUUCGGAUCGUAAAUCUCUGUUAUUAGGGAAGAACAAAUGUGUAAGUAACUAUGCACGUCUUGACGGUACCUAAUCAGAAAGCCACGGCUAACUACGUG
RNAcentral lists this ribosomal RNA (497 nucleotides) under uncultured bacterium. RNAcentral describes it as "partial 16S ribosomal RNA". It matches the Rfam family "Bacterial small subunit ribosomal RNA", at positions 28 to 507 of the family's 1533-position model. The record is from RNAcentral.